UCAGAUGUGAAAUCCCGGGGCUCAACCCCGGAACUGCGUUUGAAACUGGACGGCUUGAGUACGGGAGAGGGAAGUGGAAUUCCCGGUGUAGAGGUGAAAUUCGUAGAUAUCAGGAGGAACACCGGUGGCGAAGGCGGCUUCCUGGACCAAUACUGACGCUGAGGCGCGAAAGCGUGGGGAGCAAACAGGAUUAGAUACCCUGGUAGUCCAGGCCGUAAACGAUGAGCACUAGGUGUAGGAGGUAUCGAUCCCUCUGUGCCGCAGCUAACGCAUUAAGUGAUCCGCCUGGGGAGUACGGCCGCAAGGUUAAAACUCAAAGGAAUUGAGGG
This 329-nucleotide ribosomal RNA is filed under the name uncultured bacterium. RNAcentral's name for it is "bacterial SSU rRNA". It matches the Rfam family "Bacterial small subunit ribosomal RNA", at positions 588 to 916 of the family's 1533-position model. The record is from RNAcentral.